GAUGAACGCUGGCGGCGUGCCUAAUACAUGCAAGUCGAGCGAACAGAUGAGGAGCUUGCUCCUCUGACGUUAGCGGCGGACGGGUGAGUAACACGUGGAUAACCUACCUAUAAGACUGGGAUAACUUCGGGAAACCGGAGCUAAUACCGGAUAAUAUAUUGAACCGCAUGGUUCAAUAGUGAAAGACGGUUUUGCUGUCACUUAUAGAUGGAUCCGCGCCGCAUUAGCUAGUUGGUAAGGUAACGGCUUACCAAGGCAACGAUGCGUAGCCGACCUGAGAGGGUGAUCGGCCACACUGGAACUGAGACACGGUCCAGACUCCUACGGGAGGCAGCAGUAGGGAAUCUUCCGCAAUGGGCGAAAGCUUGACGCAGCAACGCCGCGUGAGUGAUGAAGGUCUUCGGAUCGUAAAACUCUGUUAUUAGGGAAGAACAAAUGUGUAAGUAACUAUGCACGUCUUGACGGUACCUAAUCAGAAAGCCACGGCUAACUACGUG
This 497-nucleotide ribosomal RNA is filed under the name uncultured bacterium. RNAcentral's name for it is "partial 16S ribosomal RNA". It matches the Rfam family "Bacterial small subunit ribosomal RNA", at positions 28 to 507 of the family's 1533-position model. The record is from RNAcentral.